AACGCACCUUGCGCCCCUUGGCAUUCCGAGGGGCACACCUGUUUGAGCGUCGUGAAUAUCUCAACCCAACGCACUUUUGCAUUAAAGUGUCGAUGGGCUUUGGACUUGGAGGCCUUGCCGUGCGCACCCCGCAUCGGCUCCUCUGGAAUGUAUUAGCGAGGACCCUUUGCAUGGCCUUGACGUGAUAAUGAUUGUCGUCGUCGGCCUAGCUCUGCUCGGAACCGCUUCAAACCGUCUUCGGACAAAUGGCUCGCAUGAGUCAAAUCAAACUUGACCUCAAAUCAGGUGGGACUACCCGCUGAACUUAA
Molecule: unclassified non-coding RNA, 308 nt
Filed under: uncultured fungus
Lineage: Eukaryota; Fungi
Description: sequence contains ITS2
Source: RNAcentral